AUGGUGACAAAGAUGGCAUCUGGACCUGGGCUGGGGGCCAGGUGGCUGAUCUUUAUUCCCCCUGCACCUUGGAGCUCCUGCCCAGCUGAACCAGGGUGGCAUCACUGGAACGGCAGCUGCUACUUCUGGGACGCUUUGUCGGUGAGCGGGUGGCACGAGGCCCUGCGCUCCUGCCGGAGGUUCAGGAAAACAGAGCUGCUCUACCUGACGUCCCCCCAGGAGCUGAACUGGAUCCGCUCACAUUUCCAGGGCUCCUUCUGGACAGGGUUGAAUGAUCUGAAGGAAGAGUCUGUAUUCCGGUGGACAACACAGGAGGCCCUCAAUCAGCAGAUGGCACAGUAUUUGCGAGAUGACAUGGCAGAUGGAGGCCUCAAGGACUGUGUGCUGUUCGAUGAGGCGACUGGAUUUCUAGCAGAUGCCAACUGUGCAGCCAAGAGACCCUUCCUCUGCAAAUGUAGCGAAGCCAUAGAGUGGUUUGAUGAGCAUCCUCACCACGGUGUGGCCGGAGAGCCAUCCCUGCUCUACCCGUCUGUGGGAAACCUGGAGGAAGCGAAGCAGGAGUGCCUGCUAGAGCGCAGUGUGUGCGUUGCCGUCCUCCAGACAGGGCUCGGCUUCUACUUGAUGAGCUCCACAGAUGAUAUUCUCUCCCAGCCGAAUUCAACCGUCUAUGUGUGGAACAUUUGUGCUGAGGGCUUCAGUGGUCCCGACUGCCUCACAGCUCAAGCCCCUGCUCCCCGCCCAGCCUGUGAUUGCAGUGGCAGAUUUCAGACAGCAGCUGAAAAAGUCUGUGGUGUCCCAGUGCAAACCUGUGUGGACGACUGCCGACAUAUGACUGCCUGGCAUAACUGCUCAGUAUGCCUGCCUGCCUGCACCGAGGCUGGCCUGAGCGCCCUGGGUGCUGAGGAACUUGCCCUCCUAAUGAUGGUCCAGUUCAAAGUAUCUCACUCCCUCAACCUUACCACAGAAGAUGAACGGGACCGAGGAAAUUCAUCCAACAUCAUCUAUGACAGCAAGUACCCAUGAUGCCUCCUCAUCCUGGGAAAAGAAUAAAGUCUUGAGAUUUCCCCCUCCCCCCCA
RNAcentral lists this long non-coding RNA (1077 nucleotides) under Salvator merianae (Argentine black and white tegu). RNAcentral describes it as "lncRNA (ENSSMRG00000000544.1)". Lineage: Eukaryota; Metazoa; Chordata; Lepidosauria; Squamata; Teiidae. The record is from RNAcentral.